This 127-nucleotide ribosomal RNA is filed under the name Castor canadensis (American beaver). Lineage: Eukaryota; Metazoa; Chordata; Mammalia; Rodentia; Castoridae. The record is from RNAcentral.
GACUACAGUCAUAUUACCCUGAAUGCACCCAAUCUUAUCUUGUCUCAGAAGCUAAGCAGGGUCAGGCCUGGUUAGUACUUGGAUGGGAGAAAAAUCUUCAGAGGAGACUGCUCAGAGACAAUAGUUC